UGGGCAACCUGCCUUCAGCUCUGGGAUAACUCCGGGAAACCGGGGCUAAUACCGGAUAUGACCACUCCUGGCAUCUGGGGUGGUGGAAAGUUCUUCGGCUGAGGAUGGGCCCGCGGCCUAUCAGCUUGUUGGUGGGGUUACGGCCCACCAAGGCGACGACGGGUAGCCGGCCUGAGAGGGUGACCGGCCACACUGGGACUGAGACACGGCCCAGACCUCCUACGGGAGGCA
This 231-nucleotide ribosomal RNA is filed under the name uncultured bacterium. RNAcentral describes it as "partial 16S ribosomal RNA". It matches the Rfam family "Bacterial small subunit ribosomal RNA", at positions 118 to 350 of the family's 1533-position model. The record is from RNAcentral.